Molecule: ribosomal RNA, 530 nt
Filed under: Microbispora bryophytorum
Lineage: Bacteria; Bacillati; Actinomycetota; Actinomycetes; Streptosporangiales; Streptosporangiaceae
Description: bacterial SSU rRNA
Rfam family: Bacterial small subunit ribosomal RNA
Source: RNAcentral
GAACGCUGGCGGCGUGCUUAACACAUGCAAGUCGAGCGGAAAGGCCCUUCGGGGUACUCGAGCGGCGAACGGGUGAGUAACACGUGAGUAACCUGCCCCUGACUCUGGGAUAAGCCUGGGAAACCGGGUCUAAUACCGGAUACGACCAUUUCUCGCAUGUGAUGGUGGUGGAAAGUUUUUUCGGUUGGGGAUGGGCUCGCGGCCUAUCAGCUUGUUGGUGGGGUGAUGGCCUACCAAGGCGACGACGGGUAGCCGGCCUGAGAGGGCGACCGGCCACACUGGGACUGAGACACGGCCCAGACUCCUACGNGAGGCAGCAGUGGGGAAUAUUGCGCAAUGGGCGGAAGCCUGACGCAGCGACGCCGCGUGGGGGAUGACGGCCUUCGGGUUGUAAACCUCUUUCAGCAGGGACGAAGUUGACGUGUACCUGUAGAAGAAGCGCCGGCUAACUACGUGCCAGCAGCCGCGGUAAUACGUAGGGCGCAAGCGUUGUCCGGAAUUAUUGGGCGUAAAGAGCUCGUAGGUGGCUU